GACGAACGCUGGCGGCGUGCUUACACAUGCAAGUCGAACGGAAAGGCCCUGCUUUUGUGGGGUGCUCGAGUGGCGAACGGGUGAGUAACACGUGAGUAACCUGCCCUUGACUUUGGGAUAACUUCAGGAAACUGGGGCUAAUACCGGAUAGGAGCUCCUGCUGCAUGGUGGGGGUUGGAAAGUUUCGGCGGUUGGGGAUGGACUCGCGGCUUAUCAGCUUGUUGGUGGGGUAGUGGCUUACCAAGGCUUUGACGGGUAGCCGGCCUGAGAGGGUGACCGGCCACAUUGGGACUGAGAUACGGCCCAGACUCCUACGGGAGGCAGCAGUGGGGAAUAUUGCACAAUGGGCGGAAGCCUGAUGCAGCAACGCCGCGUGCGGGAUGACGGCCUUCGGGUUGUAAACCGCUUUCGCCUGUGACGAAGCGUGAGUGACGGUAAUGGGUAAAGAAGCACCGGCUAACUACGU
RNAcentral lists this ribosomal RNA (466 nucleotides) under uncultured bacterium. Its description in RNAcentral is "partial 16S ribosomal RNA". It matches the Rfam family "Bacterial small subunit ribosomal RNA", at positions 28 to 506 of the family's 1533-position model. The record is from RNAcentral.